This 24-nucleotide microRNA is filed under the name Bombyx mori (domestic silkworm). RNAcentral describes it as "bmo-miR-3209". The record is from miRBase by way of RNAcentral. Lineage: Eukaryota; Metazoa; Arthropoda; Insecta; Lepidoptera; Bombycidae.
CGAGGCGACGUGAGUCUAUUCCGC